GUUGAUUUACAAGGAUUUACCCCAGGACUUCAUGCUCUUUUCACCGGGGAAGAUGAUACUUGGGAGGCCUGGCUGAAUGUUGAUGCUUCUGGUUUUUCUAGUGUUAUUAGUUUGGGCCGCAAUGGAAUUAAGUUAAGGCGUGGCUAUUCCCCAUCUAAUUCCCCUAAACCCACUCAGGUUUGUAUUUUGUAUUUCUUUCUUUCUCAUAGUUCUGUUAGUAUAAAUUUACCAUUGCCUUAAUAUUUCACCCCCUUCUGAUGUGAAACUUUAAUUCACUAGAAGGAUCAUAAUGGAGGCGGG
Molecule: unclassified non-coding RNA, 300 nt
Filed under: Hevea brasiliensis (rubber tree)
Lineage: Eukaryota; Viridiplantae; Streptophyta; Magnoliopsida; Malpighiales; Euphorbiaceae
Source: RNAcentral